CCUGGUAGAGCAGACUUGGAGAAAGAGAAGGCAUUUAGUCUCCUGGACCUUAGCAAGGAGAUUGGCUUUGACUUGUGUUUUCGUCUACUCAUUCUCUUCCUAUCCUGCUUUUCUCCAGCAAUAAGCCCUCCGUGUAUGGUGGAUUUAGGGCUUCCCUGGACUCAGCAUGUGAACACCUGGAAUUGAGGACUCUAGCCUAACUUCUCGGAUCCUUAUCUCUUUGGUAUGAACCACCCUCCUGCUUCAAGCUGUGGCAGUCUGAACACAUUGCUGAAGCCCUAGGGCCGUGUUAGCUCCAACUACUUGCCAAGGACUGUCUGAGGGGAAGCUGACUGCGGAGGAGAGCUGUCCGGAGACCUACCUGCAGCUGUCAGGUUUGGGCUCAGUCCUCAUCCUUCCUGGGAAGCUUGCUUUGCCUGUGGGUUCCAAAAAUACCCAGAAUUCUGCAAACAUUUUGCAUCAUCAAGAAACAGAACCUUCGCUCGGUAUCUUACAACAGCUUUGUAAUUGUUGUUUCUGCCCCAUCCAAAUCACUCCCUACAUUUAAACAGAGUGGAGUUUUACCCCUUUAUUUUUUUCAAUUUCUUUUUUUUAAUAUUUAUUUAUUAUGUAUACAAUAUUUGGUUUGUGUGUAUGCCUGCAGGCCAGAAGAGAGCACCAGCCCUCAUUACAGAUGGUUGUGAGCCACCAUGUGGUUGCUGGGAAUUGAACUCAGGACCUUUGGAAGAGCAGGCAAUGCUCUUAACCACUGAGCCAUCUCUCCAGCCCUACCCCUUAGUUUUUAAAAGAUAAACUCUGACUGUGUGUGGUCCCAUGUCUAAACCCUUCAAUGGCUACUGUCGUCCUUUAGAUAAAACCUAAGACCCUAAGCUUGACCUGCCGCUUGCUCUGGCUCCUGCUGACCUCCCCAAAGGCAGUAGUAACAUUCUCCGCAUCUUUUCACUCUCCACCCUUCCUCUCCAGCUCGGAGUCUUCACACAAAUCCUUUAUCUAUGCAUGCAUAAGAGUAUACGCAUAGAUCUGUAUGCAGACGCAUGAGUUACUUUACUAUUGCUGCGAUAGAAGACAGAGCUCAUUUUGGCUUCCAGUUUGAGGGAUGGGACUCUGAUGGUGAACUCCAGCAGAAGGCACGGGUACAGGAACAGGGAGGUGAAAACUCACGGCUGGAACUGCAAGUGAGAAAACAGAGCUGGAAUUGCGAGGCCUUAAGAGCUCACAGACAGCACGUGGUGGCACGUGUCCAUCCUCCAGCAAGGCCACACCUCCUAAUUUCCCCAAACAGUAUGAUCAGCUGAGGACCAAGUAUUCAAAAGCCCAAGACUGUGGGGACAUUUCUCAUUCAAAUCACCACAAUGGACAUGUAUGAAAACUGACUGCCAUGACUGCAUUCAUAACUCAUAUGAUAC
Alexandromys fortis (reed vole) is the source of this 1406-nucleotide long non-coding RNA. RefSeq lists it as uncharacterized. The record is from RefSeq and is a predicted model, not a curated record. Lineage: Eukaryota; Metazoa; Chordata; Mammalia; Rodentia; Cricetidae. The transcript has 3 exons.